RNAcentral lists this ribosomal RNA (124 nucleotides) under Cryptosporidium parvum. Lineage: Eukaryota; Apicomplexa; Conoidasida; Eucoccidiorida; Cryptosporidiidae. The record is from RNAcentral.
GCAAUCGGCCAUACUACAUCGAAUAUACCGGAUCCCAUCAGAACUCCGAAGUCAAGCGGUGUAAGGUUCGGUUAGUACUAGGGUGGGGGACCACCUGGGAAGACCAGAAUGUCGAUCGCCUCCC